Long non-coding RNA from Strigops habroptila (Kakapo), 5941 nucleotides. Lineage: Eukaryota; Metazoa; Chordata; Aves; Psittaciformes; Psittacidae. The record is from Ensembl.
CGCCGACGCCGGAUCUGCCUGCACGGCUGCGGCAGGAUGGGGGUUGCAGCAUUCCCCCUCUGCCCUGGGGGCAGCCAGCCCCCUCCUCUUCUUCCUGCCACGGCCGAGCCCCGUGCUGGAGCCCGUCUGGCACAGCCUCUUCGCCAUGUCCUGCCGGGGGCGGAGAGCCCUCUCCGGAGCGCCUGAGCGCGGACCGAGCCCCAGCACCGCGGACAGCUCCCGGUCACCGGCGCUACGAGCCCCAGCACCGCGGACAGCUCCCGGCGGGCCAGGGCGCGCUGCCGGCGGGCAGUCGGUCAGUGCCCGGCUCCGGAGCUGCGCCGUGCCUUAGUGCUCCGGUUCAUUGCGUAUUGCUGGCAGCCCUCUACCGAGAAGAACGCCGAGAGACCUCCCUUUCCCCCCUUACCACCCCCCUUUCUCAAGGUGCCAGAAGAGGGCUUAUCUUUGGGCUCGGAGUCUGUUUGUCUUGUGUGGAUCGGGAUUUGUAAGUGUGGACGGUGCCUGGUUACAGUGGUAUAUGAGUCUACAGACACUGAGGUGCACUACAGAGUUAGAAAGAAACCUCGGAUCUGUCGUGCUGUGGAGGGGUCAAAUAAACCCUAUACAACCAGCAAACCCAGCCCAAGCCUUCCUGCAACCAACUUUACCCCCUCAACCACGAGAAUUCCCUCCUUUCCUCCUCCCUCCAUGCUCCUUCCUUCAGAGACUGUAGAAUGAGGCAUUUCCUUCUAUCUGGCUCAGGGUAAAAGCAUACCCUGGGGGCAGCAACACACAUCUGGCAGGGACUGAAAGGUUUUAAUCCAGCCUCUACUGCAAUCAACAAUGGCAAAUGAACCAGUGAUUCUGAAUGUUUAUGACAUGGUGAGUAUGAAACAGUACUGAUUUAGGGGGAAGGGGGGGUUGUGUGGAACAGUGGGGUUGGGUGGGAAUCUGUGCUUGGAGGUAGGUGUUGUAUGAAGAGGAGCCAAGCACAGAUCCCAGAAAGGCUGAUCCCUCGCCCUCCUUCCCCCCAAACUCCUCAUCCAAGCAUAUCAUGUUCUGGCUGUCAGAGAUAAUGCUGACCCAGGCUUUUUUCUUCAAAAUGUUUAGCAUAUUGGGAGAGAUUAUAGGUAAAACUGUGCCUGAUUUUCUGCAGGAUCUCUCAGGAACAGCACUGGGUGAGGGGAGGACUUUUUAAUUUCCAGUGUCCCAGUUAAGGAAGAAGAUUCGAUCACCUCUCUGUUGGAGAUAAUUGUCCUUUAAUUUUAAGUGAGCAACCACUCCCAGGCUGUGGGGAAGGGGUCAGGAUAUCAUCCAGGGAAGAGAAACAACUGUAGAAUUGCAAUAAGGACACAGUUUCUAGGCUAAUCAUCUGCAUCAGUCCCUCACAGCCAUAAGAUUGUAGUUAAGAAUUUUCUCUGAAGGUUAAUUGCAACAACAGGAGUAAGAAAUUGCCUGAACUGGUGAAGUUUCAACACAGGGAGAGGCACAGGGACGUGCUGCUUGGCAAUGUUUCCUGAAAGUUCACAGUGUAGCAAGUGGCUUUCCUCACCCUCCUCUUACAAGGAGGGAUGUGACUGGGAAUUACCCGUGCUAACACAUCAGAUCGAAAUCCCAGCCUUGGCGUAAGCCCCCAAAGAGAAGAAGGCUUGGCACAACCUGUUUGCUUUCUGGUCCAACAGGAGCUUAGGAGAGGCAUGUUCAAAUGAGGAAUGUUUUGAUGAUGAUGCACUUCCCCUCUCUUUUUUGUUUAUGAACUAACGAUUGAAAGAGUAGUUUUCAGAUCUUCCAAAAAUUUAGUGAACUUUGCUGGGGAAAAUACAACCUUAUGAGGCCUAGGUGCUGACUGGGCCUCAUAAGUAUCUAGCUCCAGACCUUUAAGAUUAUACAUACAUUUGCUUUUUGUCAUCAGGCAGUGACAACAUUCAACAGGAAGCCCACAGAAUAGUGUGGGUUUCCCUGCUGGGGGAAUUCACAGAUAGACACCAAAGAGAUUAGGAGUGGGUUGCUGUAAAUGUCCAACCUCUUCUUAUUACAAAGAUUAACUGAUCUUUUUUUGACUAAAAAAUCUGAGUUGUUUUCUGAGGGAAGAGGGAGUGGUAAAGGCUAUUUAGGUAGGAUUGUAUCUGUAUUGAAAGACAGUCUGAAAACCACAACUACAGUGGCUUGAAGCUGUCUCUCCCAGAGCUAAUAUUGGUAAAAUUGAGUAAGUUGGUAUAAAAUCCUUCCCUAGACUUUGGGCCUGAGUGUUUAAUGGUCAGCUGCUUGGCAGCCUGAACUGUGAAGUCUCCCAAGCUGUUCUUCAACCAGCAGGUCUGGUAACUCAAGCAGGUGGUACCUAGUGCUUGGCAACAAGGGACAAGCAUUGCAAAUGCACACACAAGAGUUUCUCAUUAAUACUUUGAGGAACAUAAAGGGAUUGUGUUGCCCUUUUGUUAUGUCCACUGUCUUCCUUGCAAUUUUUUUAGUUUUUUUCUGCAGCAGGUUGUGGUCUGAACUUUCCUUUCUCAGCCACUGUUGAGCUGUCCCAAAUCCAUGAAUAUUUUGGUCCAAAAACUGGAUGGACAUGGAUGUUGCCUUUUUUCAUGUGAUUGACAACAAAGAUGAAGUCCAAAGUAAUUAUAUGGGAAGGGACUUGCUGUUUAUGGUUAUUGUGUUUUGAGGUGGACACCCAGAAUCAGUGAAUUGAGUUGAGGUCACCAGUUUUAUUCAGACUGAGUAAUUUUUGCUGCUUAGCAAGCCAUGAAAACCUAGUGUAUGGGUACUAACUCCAUGGGUUAACCACUCAGUACAUAGAAACCGUUCUAUUUUCAUAUAGCAUCUGUUUGACUACCACUGAGUCACCUCUAUUUCAAAUCUUACAUUAUGUUUAUUGAGGCUACAUGCUUUUCCAUUGCUGCUAUGAUUUUAACACCAGAGAGUUUGGAAUGUAGCCAUGCAAAAUCUGCACUUUGUUACACUGUGGUGGGGAAUUGCGGGGGAACUGGGAAAUGAGCACAUUUGCUUGAAUGACUGUUGGAAAACUAGUCUCAAUGGGGGGAAAAAAAAAAGACAGCUGGGGAUAACAAUUAACUGGACGUAAAUCUCUGCUUUCCUGACAAGGAACAUGACCCCUUUAUGGUAUCUGGAAGCACUUACACUACAGGAAUACUUACCCCUAGGGCAGAAGUUCAAUUCAUAGCUUUGUGCAGCUAUGAAAUACCUACUCUGUAUAGUCUUGUGUAUUCAAAGAUUAUAGUCAUUUAUCCUUUUACCUGUUGGAUAUGUACCAGGCUUCUUUAGGAAAAAAGAGCUUCUGUUAAUGAGGUGUUUUUCACAAAUAGGUGAAGCAGAUAGAUCAAAGUAGACUUACUUUCUUCAGCAUAGAACAAUUCAGCAAAAAUCACUGGGCAUUCAGAAUAUCGUCAUCAAAAGCAAUUUCCCUCACCCCCAGCAUGCAGGGUAAUUAUAUCCUGUUUUAUCUGUUGCUAAAGAGCUUGUACACACAUGAACACUUGCAAAAGAGACAGGGCAGCAGAACUUGGCUGCUCAACCAGGACAUUUUAGAGAGCGAGUAUGCAGGAUACCGCGCUCCGAUUUAAAGUGUAAGUGUGAACACAGAAUAAUAACACGGAUCAGGAUUUGAUCAUGGAUGAAUCUCUUUCCUAAUCUGAAUCUAGCUCUUGCAUGGACUUACUCUAAGGCAAAAGCUGUUUGGACACCUGCAUGAAAUAACUGGGUCUAUAAAAUCUAUGAAAGAGUUUGCUCUGAUCAGUCAGUUAUCACUUUGCCUUUAGAGGGAUAAAUCAAAUUCCUCUUCAUAACUUGCAGCUCUAUUUCCUUCACUCUGCCUUAAUAGGCUGUUUAUCAUGGAUCAGAUCAUACUUUAGAUCACAGGGCUGACUUCAUUCAGUCAGGAUAUCAUCCUAUUUCCUCAUUGCUUUAAGUCCUUGUGGCUUACUUUGGAAUAGUUGACUUAAUCACUGUACAUUAAUAAAUGUUGCCUGCUUAAAUCAGACAGAAGAGUAACUGCAAUUAUUGCCUAGGUUUAAAUCUUUAACAAGCAAACUAAACACAUUCCACUAAAAAUAGUUUGCUUGGCGGAGAUUCAAGUUGGGGGCUCUCAAAAUAUUUUCAGCUUAUUGCAUAGCACAUUUAUGCUAUCAAAUUAAAAGCAAAGAUAUUCAUAUCACUGCUGUCCCUCUUCUGUUACAGAUAUGGUUGUCCUGAAUUUCCACUGUCUUUGCAGCUGAUAGCAUUCAAAACUGUCAUUUUGAUCUACCGGUAUUUUGCUUACUCUUUAUGCUGGAGAAAAUGAGCCCCUGAGAUGUGCUGCAGAGAAGAAUGAGAGCCCUGGUCAGCAGGGAGCCAGGGAGCAGUGAUAUAGGGUCUCUUUGGAUGAGAGGGGUGAAUCUCUUUCUCAUCCUUGUCCCAUUGUUAUUCCAUUGAUUCCACUGACAUUUCUUGUCAUCCUCUUUGAAGUGAAUGAAAGGGAAAUAAGGUUCAGGUCCCUGUAGACACACUAACUCUGAGGUUUUUCCCUGUGACUUCCAGCUUCAGAGAGGUAGCCAAAAUGUAAUUAUUCAUAAUGGUCCUCCCAUAUUCUUUCAGUUCUUUAUAUAAUUUAUAUAAUUUGCCAGCUAAAUGGCUGAAGGCCAAUGGCUGAUGGCAAAGGAUGGCCCUGCAGGUGUCUGACUGGGGUCUCUCUUGCUUCACUGAUCAGUGGGUCAUGGUGUCAUCAGUUUGAUUUCUCCAUCACACCAAGUGGAUCAUCCAAGUGACCCUGACAGAAAAUCAAACACAAUAGCAUUCUUGUCUCCACAGCAGUGAUAAAGGCCCAUUUUGUGUUUGUGAUCUCGGGGCAAGCAGCCUGUGUUGAAGUAGGGGUAGUACUUGGGCUGAGGAUGUAAAAGUUUGUAGACAUGCAUGUAGUUUCUAAGACUCCCAGGACAUGAAUCUCACUCUUGCUUUUUAUUGAUGUGGUGGAACAGAGCAUCCUGGGAGGCUGCAUGUGCACAGGAGGCAGCAUUUCUGGGGAGGGAGAGAAGGAAGAAGGUGGUGUUACAAACCAUAAGAGUUUGUAAUGAGUUUUCUCCAUGGUUUCAGUUGUACCAUCAACAAACAUUUACCAUGCUCUGUGCAGUCAAUCAGCUUGUGGUCUCCCAGCAGAAACUGAUCAGAGACGACCACAGCCUGAGAGUGGCUUAGGUUGGGAGAGGAGUUCUGGUGAGAUUAUUUCCGCCUGGCUUUACAAAUGUCUGUCAUCUUAUAGUUGCUUCUACAUAGAGCUGGGUUCAGGAACUGAGGGCUGCUGGGAAGUUACUGGGUCAAGAUGAGCUAGAUGAGCAGUUGUGGUGUGGGAAACUGUAUGUGUGAUUCUUCAGGGAUAGGGUGGAAGCUGGGUUUUGUUUAUGUACUCUGAGAAAAGGCUUGUGAAAGAGUCCCUGCGUGAAAAGGACAUAUCAGCUAUGUGUGAGGAAAGGCAGAAAGGGUCUGUAUGACCAUAGAAUAAAUGCAUAAAACUUUAGUGCUUAAUCCAGAUUCUGUGAUACAAAAUCAUAUUGCAGAGAUGGGAGUUACUUUUCCUUUUGCACUUUUCAGCUCUGUUAUUUUCAGCAUUUUACUGAAAUCCAUUGCUCACAUAUGGAGGUGAUGACCUCUUUGUACCAUUGAAAAACAGCAGACUUCCCAUCCUAUCAUCCCUUCUUGGCUUCCUAGGCAAGUGGAAAAGAGAGAGACGUGGCCACUAUAAUUAAAUGCUCUGGGACUGAAGGAAUAGAGGUGCUCUGUACCUCUACCUUGAGCAAGAAAGGAGCCUUUGAGUCUGUUUUAGAAAAAGCAAUGGGAUUACAAGCAAAGCACUUCAUUCUGUGACAUGUUUGUUUUAAGCCCUGGCUAAAUCAUGGAACAUUUUAUUAUCUCUCUGGAGGAAAGAAUAAGUCUAGUUAGUCAGAAAAAUGUCAACAUGUUUGUGAUUACUGUU